GGGUUGGCAUGGGAAGAAUUAUCUCAUACCACAUUCUAUUUGUGAAGUGCAACCUUGCUGGUCCUAACUUGCUUGUGUGGAGUUUGCUUUCUAUGUUUCAAUAGGUUAUGGGCCCACACUCUCUUACCAAGUAAGUUGUUCUUGCAUUAUUUUCUUUGUUGCUUACUUUGGUGGUUGGGAUCUUAUGGUAGAGUGUUGCUAUUGUGUUGUUGAAGUCAUUGCUCCUGGAUUUGUGAGUAUAUGAGUUUUGUGCAAGACCUUGAUAGUGUCUUUGCUGAAGUAACACUAGUGUAUGAAAGUUUCAUGAGAUAGUGAGUCAUUUUGAGUGGAGUGACGUGAGGGAGACUUAUGAGAGCCAUAGAAUUACUUUACAAUUCAUUCUCCACCAUUUAGACGUGAUUUGGACUCAUAAUUUACAAAAAGUUGCAAAACAGCGAAUUCUGGGUUUGUGGUUCAGCGAUCUUUGAGUAGUGAUAUCUUCUCCAUUACAACUCCAAAUCAAGAGUUUUUUGGACCUACGUGUAGCUUGAGAUGGCAUCUUUUGAGGGUGAUAGCUUGAGAAUGGUUGAAAAGUUCAAAGGUGACAACUUUCACCACUGGAAGGCCAAAAUGGAGCUACUUUUGGCGUCAUUGGAUCUUUGGGAGAUUGUAUGUGAGGAGGAAGAGGCACCUGGGGUAGAGGCAAGCAUCAAGGAGCAUAAGGAGUUCAAAAGACGAGAAAAGAAGGCUUUUGGCAUAAUUGCCACCAAUUUAGAUGAGAGCAACUUUGCUCAUGUCAUUUCUUGCAAAGGGGCAGCAGAGGCAUGGAAGACUCUUUGCAACGUCUAUGAGAGUAGAAAUCUCUCCAAUGUACUAUGGUCAAGGCAAAAAUUCUUCACCGUGAAGAUGAAAGAAGGUGAAGAUCUCAUGGCUCAUGUAAAUAAGGUAAAAGCACUUGCAAACCAACUUGCUGUUAUUGACAAGCCUUUACCUGAAGAAGAUGUUGUGAUGACAUUGCUCUCAAGCCUUCCGGACUCCUAUUCUUCCCUCAUUGUGGCAUUGGAGUCAAUUUCAAGAAAAGAUCUUACUUUGGACUAUGUCACGGCAAGACUAGCCCAUGAAGUGACCAAAAGAAAGCAAAAGGAGUCUAUUGGAGAGCAAUCAGCACUAUUCACGAGACCAAGUUGUUGAAGGAAAGAAUUCAUUUAGUUGUUGCUAAUGGUCAAUAGAGUAUAUGAGUAAUGAGGGAUAUCCUACAAGGUUAGUUGCUGGUCUAUAGUGCCUUAGAAUACAAGGAGAGGGCUGGUCCUAAGAGAUAUCCCAUAUGGGUUGUAACACAUGGUACCUUGGUACUAGUAUAUAAGAAAAGGGUUGGCAUGGGAAGAAUAUCUCAUACCACAUUCUUUUUGUGAAGUGCAACCUUGCUGGUCCUAACUUGCUUGUGUGGAGUUUGCUUUCUAUGUUUCAAUAGGUUAUGGACCCACACUCUCUUACCAAGUAAGUUGUUCUUGCAUUAUUUCUUUGUUGCUUACUUUGGUGGUUGGGAUCUUAUGGUAGAGUGUUGCUAGUGUGUUGUUGAAGUCAUUGCUCCUGGAUUUGUGAGUAUAUGA
Molecule: long non-coding RNA, 1589 nt
Filed under: Physcomitrium patens
Lineage: Eukaryota; Viridiplantae; Streptophyta; Bryopsida; Funariales; Funariaceae
Description: long non-coding RNA (PPAT_LNC003942)
Source: RNAcentral